UCGCCUACACGAAGUCGGAAUCGCUAGUAAUCGCGGAUCAGCAUGCCGCGGUGAAUACGUUCCCGGGCCUUGUACACACCGCCCGUCACACUAUGGGAGUUUGUAACGCCCAAAGUCGGUGGCCUAACCUUUAUGGAGGGAGCCGCCUAAGGCGGGACAGAUGACUGGGGUGAAGUCGUAACAAGGUACC
RNAcentral lists this ribosomal RNA (190 nucleotides) under uncultured bacterium. RNAcentral's name for it is "partial 16S ribosomal RNA". It matches the Rfam family "Bacterial small subunit ribosomal RNA", at positions 1312 to 1500 of the family's 1533-position model. The record is from RNAcentral.